UACGUAGGUGGCGAGCGUUGUCCGGAUUUACUGGGCGUAAAGGGAGCGUAGGCGGAUUUUUAAGUGAGAUGUGAAAUACUCGGGCUCAACUUGAGUGCUGCAUUGCAAACUGGAAGUCUAGAGUGCAGGAGAGGAGAAUGGAAUUCCUAGUGUAGCGGUGAAAUGCGUAGAGAUUAGGAAGAACACCAGUGGCGAAGGCGAUUCUCUGGACUGUAACUGACGCUGAGGCUCGAAAGCGUGGGGAGCAAACAGG
RNAcentral lists this ribosomal RNA (253 nucleotides) under uncultured bacterium. RNAcentral's name for it is "partial 16S ribosomal RNA". It matches the Rfam family "Bacterial small subunit ribosomal RNA", at positions 524 to 776 of the family's 1533-position model. The record is from RNAcentral.